Molecule: non-coding RNA, 797 nt
Organism: Erythranthe guttata (spotted monkey flower)
Lineage: Eukaryota; Viridiplantae; Streptophyta; Magnoliopsida; Lamiales; Phrymaceae
Source: RefSeq, a predicted model, not a curated record
UGUGUGUUGUUAUGCAAGUUGGGUUUAUUUUAAAUAAAUAAAUUAGUGAUUAUAUUGCAUGCCUUUCCACUUGCCAAAUGCUAAUCAUUUUGCCUAAACCCACUUGCUUAGUAAGAUAAAAAAAAAAACCACUCUUCCUUUUUCUUCUUCAAACACCUAACCCCCUACUUGUCUUCCUCUCUCCCUCUCCACCGUAGCAUCAUCACCACCUCCAUUCUUCAUCUUCUUCCACCUCAUUUCUUGUUUUUCAAAGAAAAUGAAAAAUCACUUGAAAAUUUCCCUAUUUAACCACGGUCAUGGAGCAGCCUAGAUCACCACUCAUCUAAGAAAUAUACACCUCAUUUGAAAGCCCACUCAAUCUCUUCCACAAUCAUAGUAGCUUGGUUAGAUUUCGGUGCUUGAAAGCCUCUCUUCUUUCGGUUGCUUUCUUCUCUUCGAUUUUAAGGUAGUGCUAGUGCUAACCCUCCCCCGGAAUGGACCGAGUAGUGGAUCGAAGUCUUGACCGGAGUUUUUGGAAGUUCGAACGAGGGUUCUAUAAGUGUGGCUAAGUACUAUUUUGGUGAUGUAAUAUAAAGUAACUUCCGUUUUCGUUUACUAUCGUACUCGUUUUUUAAAGCACGAGACUUUAAUCGGCAACGGAUCCUAUUUUGAACUCCAUAAUAUAUUGAUCCGUUUAUGUUUAUGAAUAGUUCGUAUAUUUCAUGAUUUAAUCGUUUAUCGCCAAAAUAUUUCUAAACUCUGAUUUUAAUUUCGAACCUAUGUUUUAUGAUAGUGUAGCACUCGAUUAAACUCCUUCU